UCCCAGUUCGGAUUGCAGGCUGCAACCCGCCUGUAUGAAGUUGGAAUCGCUAGUAAUCGCGGAUCAGCAUGCCGCGGUGAAUACGUUCCCGGGCCUUGUACACACCGCCCGUCACACCAUGAGAGUCGGGAACACCCGAAGUCCGUAGUCUAACUUUCACGAGAGGACGCGGCCGAAGGUGGGUUCGAUAAUUGGGGUGAAGUCGUAACAAGGUAUC
Molecule: ribosomal RNA, 217 nt
Filed under: uncultured bacterium
Lineage: Bacteria
Description: partial 16S ribosomal RNA
Rfam family: Bacterial small subunit ribosomal RNA
Source: RNAcentral